UAGAGGUUCAGUAUGAUGUUCUUUAAUAGAGGUUCAGUAUGAUGUUCUUUAAUAGAGGUUCAGUAUGAUGUUCUGUUAAUAGAGGUUCAGUAUGAUGUUCUGUUAAUAGAGGUUCAGUAUGAUGUUCUGUUAAUAGAGGUUCAGUAUGAUGUUCUGUUAAUAGAGGUUCAGUAUGAUGUUCUGUUAAUAGAGGUUCAGUAUGAUGUUCUGUUAAUAGAGGUUCAGUAUGAUGUUCUGUUAAUAGAGGUUCAGUAUGAUGUUCUGUUAAUAGAGGUUCAGUAUGAUGUUCUGUUAAUAGAGGUUCAGUAUGAUGUUCUGUUAAUAGAGGUUCAGUAUGAUGUUCUGUUAAUAGAGGUUCAGUAUGAUGUUCUGUUAAUAGAGGUUCAGUAUGUUCUGUUAAUA
Long non-coding RNA from Oncorhynchus keta (chum salmon), 402 nucleotides. RefSeq lists it as uncharacterized. The record is from RefSeq and is a predicted model, not a curated record. The transcript is spliced from 4 exons. Lineage: Eukaryota; Metazoa; Chordata; Actinopteri; Salmoniformes; Salmonidae.